This 468-nucleotide ribosomal RNA is filed under the name uncultured bacterium. RNAcentral describes it as "partial 16S ribosomal RNA". It matches the Rfam family "Bacterial small subunit ribosomal RNA", at positions 28 to 507 of the family's 1533-position model. The record is from RNAcentral.
GACGAACGCUGGCGGCGUGCUUAACACAUGCAAGUCGAACGGAAAGACCCUGCUUUUGUGGGGUGCUCGAGUGGCGAACGGGUGAGUAACACGUGAGUAACCUGCCCUUGACUUUGGGAUAACUUCAGGAAACUGGGGCUAAUACCGGAUAGGAGCUCCUGCUGCAUGGUGGUGGUUGGAAAGUUUCGGCGGUUGGGGAUGGACUCGCGGCUUAUCAGCUUGUUGGUGGGGUAGUGGCUUACCAAGGCUUUGACGGGUAGCCGGCCUGAGAGGGUGACCGGCCACAUUGGGACUGAGAUACGGCCCAGACUCCUACGGGAGGCAGCAGUGGGGAAUAUUGCACAAUGGGCGGAAGCCUGAUGCAGCAACGCCGCGUGCGGGAUGACGGCCUUCGGGUUGUAAACCGCUUUCGCCUGUGACGAAGCGUGAGUGACGGUAAUGGGUAAAGAAGCACCGGCUAACUACGUG